This 448-nucleotide ribosomal RNA is filed under the name uncultured bacterium. RNAcentral's name for it is "bacterial SSU rRNA". It matches the Rfam family "Bacterial small subunit ribosomal RNA", at positions 355 to 796 of the family's 1533-position model. The record is from RNAcentral.
UUUCGAAUCAUUCACAAUGGGCGAAAGCCUGAUGGUGCGACGCCGCGUGGGGGACGAAGGUCUUCGGAUUGUAAACCCCUGUCACUAGGGAAGAAACGCUUUAUUUUAACAGACUAAAGCCUGACUUAACCUGGAGAGGAAGCAGUGGCUAACUCUGUGCCAGCAGCCGCGGUAAUACAGAGACUGCAAGCGUUAUUCGGAUUCACUGGGCGUAAAGGGUGCGCAGGCGGCCGGGUGUGUCAGGUGUGAAAGCCCGAGGCUUAACCUCGGAAUUGCGCCUGAAACUACCCGGCUAGAGUACUGGAGAGGGUAACGGAAUUCACGGUGUAGCAGUGAAAUGCGUAGAUAUCGUGAGGAACACCAGAGGCGAAGGCGGUUACCUGGACAGUUACUGACGCUCAGGCACGAAAGCAUGGGGAGCAAAAGGGAUUAGAUACCCCCGUAGUCC